GGUUUGGAUGGAAGUUUAGGGAGGGUGAAUUCUUUAGGUGUUUGCAACUAAUUGAUCACAACCAGUUACAUAUUUCUUUGUUCCUUCUCCACUCCCACUGCUUCACUUGACCAGCCUUAA
RNAcentral lists this Y RNA (120 nucleotides) under Propithecus coquereli (Coquerel's sifaka). RNAcentral's name for it is "Y RNA (ENSPCOG00000009558.1)". It matches the Rfam family "Y RNA", at positions 20 to 96 of the family's 96-position model. From Rfam's summary of the family: Y RNAs are components of the Ro ribonucleoprotein particle (Ro RNP), in association with Ro60 and La proteins. The record is from Rfam by way of RNAcentral. Lineage: Eukaryota; Metazoa; Chordata; Mammalia; Primates; Indriidae.